This 200-nucleotide ribosomal RNA is filed under the name uncultured bacterium. RNAcentral describes it as "partial 16S ribosomal RNA". It matches the Rfam family "Bacterial small subunit ribosomal RNA", at positions 524 to 724 of the family's 1533-position model. The record is from RNAcentral.
UACGUAGGGGGCUAGCGUUGUCCGGAAUCAUUGGGCGUAAAGCGCGCGUAGGCGGCCCGGUAAGUCCGCUGUAAAAGUCCAGGCUCAACCCUGGAACGCCGGUGGAUACUGUUGGGCUAGAGUCCGGAAGAGGCGAGUGGAAUUCCUGGUGUAGCGGUGGAAUGCGCAGAUAUCAGGAGGAACACCGGUGGCGAAGGCGG